This 446-nucleotide ribosomal RNA is filed under the name uncultured bacterium. RNAcentral's name for it is "partial 16S ribosomal RNA". It matches the Rfam family "Bacterial small subunit ribosomal RNA", at positions 338 to 795 of the family's 1533-position model. The record is from RNAcentral.
CCUACGGGUGGCAGCAGUCGAGAAUCAUUCACAAUGGGGGAAACCCUGAUGGUGCGACGCCGCGUGGGGGAAUGAAGGUCUUCGGAUUGUAAACCCCUGUCAUGUGGGAGCAAAUUAAAAAGAUAGUACCACAAGAGGAAGAGACGGCUAACUCUGUGCCAGCAGCCGCGGUAAUACAGAGGUCUCAAGCGUUGUUCGGAAUCACUGGGCGGAAAGCGUGCGUAGGCUGUUUCGUAAGUCGUGUGUGAAAGGCGCGGGCUCAACCCGCGGACGGAACAUGAUACUGCGAGACUAGAGUAAUGGAGGGGGAACCGGAAUUCUCGGUGGAGCAGUGAAAUGCGUAGAUAUCGAGAGGAACACUCGUGGCGAAGGCGGGUUCCUGGACAUUAACUGACGCUGAGGCACGAAGGCCAGGGGAGCGAAAGGGAUUAGAUACUCUUGUAGUC